CUCUCCUUUACUUCACUACAUCGCUCUCUCUAUCCAUCUGUUGCUGCUUUCACCGACGACGACAAGGCCUGCCGUUUUCCCAGCAAAGACAGCACCUUUACCCGCAGCCUUCCAUCCCUUUCAGAUCGCCGUCGUCGAGCUCGCGCCCUUCUCUUGCGAUUCUUGCGCUGUACUGCCUUUGUCAAUCUCAGAUUCUUGCGCUUUUCUGGUUCUUGCAUUUAAUUUCUACUAGAAGAUGGCAUCGCGAUUCUGGGGACAGGGUGGCAGCGACUCUGAGGAGGAAGAGAGUGAAUUUGAAGAAGAUAUUGAUAAUGGGGAAGAAGGCGAGUCUACCACUCAAGCCCCACAAAACAGGUAUCUCAGAGGAACUGCUAGUGACAGCGAUGACUCGGAUGAUCAAAAGCGUGUUGUCAGGUCAGCCAAAGACAAACGAUUUGAGGAGAUGUCGGCUACUGUUGAUCAAAUGAAGAAUGCAAUGAAGAUCAAUGAUUGGGUCAGUUUGCAAGAGAGCUUCGACAAAAUCAAUAAACAGCUUGAGAAAGUCAUGCGGUUGACAGAAUCUGACAAGGUCCCUAAUCUUUACAUCAAAGCUCUUGUGAUGUUGGAGGAUUUCUUGAAUCAGGCUUUGGCAAAUAAGGAAGCAAAGAAGAAGAUGAGCAGUAGUAAUGCUAAGGCCUUGAACUCAAUGAAACAAAAACUGAAGAAGAACAAUAAGCAGUAUGAGGAUUUGAUUAAUAAGUAUAGGGAGAAUCCGGAGAGUGAGGAGGAACUAGAGGGAGAUGAGGAGACAGAAGAAGAGGAAGAUUCGGAUUUGGAGUUUGUGGAGGACCCUUCAAAAAUUGCUGUGUCUGAUGAGGAUGAAGAAGAAGAUGAGGAUCGCCAAGAUAAUAGAACUGAGAUUGAAGGUGAUUGGCAGAAGA
RNAcentral lists this unclassified non-coding RNA (920 nucleotides) under Hevea brasiliensis (rubber tree). The record is from RNAcentral. Lineage: Eukaryota; Viridiplantae; Streptophyta; Magnoliopsida; Malpighiales; Euphorbiaceae.